AACGCGAAGAACCUUACCUGGACUCGAAAUUUUGUUGACCGUCUCAGAGAUGAGGCUUUCCCGCAAGGGACAGCAGAAUAGGUGCUGCAUGGCUGUCGUCAGCUCGUGUCGUGAGAUGUUGGGUUAAGUCCCGCAACGAGCGCAACCCUCACCCUUAGUUGCUCGUCCGCAAGGAAAGCACCCUAAGGGAACUGCCUCGGAUAACGGGGAGGAAGGUGGGGAUGACGUCAAGUCCUCAUGGCCUUUAUGCCCAGGGCUACACACGUGCUACAAUGGCCGGUACAAACCGUUGCUAACCCGCGAGGGGGAGCCAAUCGGAAAAAACCGGUCUCAGUUCGGAUUGCAGGCUGCAACUCGCCUGCAUGAAGCUGGAAUCGCUAGUAAUCACGUAUCAGAACGACGUGGUGAAUACGUUCCCGGGCCUUGUACACACCGAGACGAC
RNAcentral lists this ribosomal RNA (442 nucleotides) under uncultured bacterium. Its description in RNAcentral is "bacterial SSU rRNA". It matches the Rfam family "Bacterial small subunit ribosomal RNA", at positions 958 to 1398 of the family's 1533-position model. The record is from RNAcentral.